This 433-nucleotide ribosomal RNA is filed under the name uncultured bacterium. RNAcentral describes it as "partial 16S ribosomal RNA". It matches the Rfam family "Bacterial small subunit ribosomal RNA", at positions 29 to 507 of the family's 1533-position model. The record is from RNAcentral.
AACGAACGCUGGCGGCAUGCCUAACACAUGCAAGUCGAACGAGACCUUCGGGUCUAGUGGCGCAAGGGUGCGUAACGCGUGGGAACCUGCCCUUAGGUUCGGAAUAACUCCCCGAAAGGGGUGCUAAUACCGGAUAAUGUCUUCGGACCAAAGAUUUAUCGCCUUUGGAUGGGCCCGCGUUGGAUUAGCUAGUUGGUAGGGUAAAAGCCUACCAAGGCGACGAUCCAUAGCUGGUCUGAGAGGAUGAUCAGCCACACUGGGACUGAGACACGGCCCAGACUCCUACGGGAGGCAGCAGUGGGGAAUAUUGGACAAUGGGCGAAAGCCUGAUCCAGCAAUGCCGCGUGAGUGAUGAAGGCCUUAGGGUUGUAAAGCUCUUUUACCCGGGAUGAUAAUGGCAGUACCGGGAGAAUAAGCUCCGGCUAACUCCGUG